RNAcentral lists this ribosomal RNA (475 nucleotides) under uncultured bacterium. Its description in RNAcentral is "bacterial SSU rRNA". It matches the Rfam family "Bacterial small subunit ribosomal RNA", at positions 28 to 507 of the family's 1533-position model. The record is from RNAcentral.
GACGAACGCUGGCGGCGUGCUUAACACAUGCAAGUCGAACGAGAAGAGAUGAGAAGCUUGCUUCUUAUCAAUUCGAGUGGCAAACGGGUGAGUAACGCGUAAGCAACCUGCCCUUCAGAUGGGGGACAACAGCUGGAAACGGCUGCUAAUACCGCAUAUGCCUAAGUAUCACAUGAUACAAUAGGGAAAGGAGCAAUCCGCUGAUAGAUGGGCUUGCGUCUGAUUAGAUAGUUGGUGGGGUAACGGCCUACCAAGUCGACGAUCAGUAGCCGGACUGAGAGGUUGAACGGCCACAUUGGGACUGAGAUACGGCCCAGACUCCUACGGGAGGCAGCAGUGGGGAAUAUUGGUCAAUGGGGGAAACCCUGAACCAGCAACGCCGCGUGAAGGAAGAAGGCUUUCGGGUUGUAAACUUCUUUGACGAGGGACGAAGGACGUGACGGUACCUCGAAAACAAGCCACGGCUAACUACGUG